UACGGAGGGUGCAAGCGUUAUCCGGAUUCACUGGGUUUAAAGGGUGCGUAGGCGGCCUUAUAAGUCAGUGGUGAAAGCUCUCAGCUUAACUGGGAAACUGCCAUUGAAACUGUUUGGCUUGAGUACAAUUGAAGUGGGCGGAAUACAUCAUGUAGCGGUGAAAUGCUUAGAUAUGAUGUAGAACACCGAUUGCGAAGGCAGCUCACUAAAUUGCAACUGACGCUGAGGCACGAAAGCGUGGGUAGCGAACAGGAUUAGAAACCCCCGUAGUCC
RNAcentral lists this ribosomal RNA (273 nucleotides) under uncultured bacterium. RNAcentral's name for it is "partial 16S ribosomal RNA". It matches the Rfam family "Bacterial small subunit ribosomal RNA", at positions 524 to 796 of the family's 1533-position model. The record is from RNAcentral.